AUUUCUUCUUGCUUUCCCACCACGUGAGACAAGGAUGCGGGAUCCCCACACACUACAUAUGUGUUCUUAACACCGCUAAUCUGAGCCCUGACCACUUACAAAGGUAAGUGAAAAACGUGCUUUUUCCAAUAAACAGAUUUGUAUGUAUGGCAUUGUCUAUUUUGUGUUUAGGACACUCAAUGUAUAUGACUAUUACCCAUUUUUGACUUCCUCUUGAUAAUCUAUGGAUUCCUUUUUUUUUAUUUAUUUUUUUAUAAAUUUUUAUUUUUGCACUGCAUAGAAAUGGUACAAGCAGGCCUGAGGUGCCCCAAAAGCACUCCUCAGGCGUUUCUUCUUGCUUAACAUGCGGGACAUAUAAGUAACAAGCACAGUUUUAUAAUAUGAGCAGGCUAGGUUAGUUACCGUAUAUACUCGUGUAUAAGUCGAUCUCGUGUAUAAGUCGAGUGCUGUUUUGUGACCAACAAUUGAGAAAUAUGCUAUGACUCGUGGAUAAGUUGAGGGUAAAACUUGGGGCUAUGAAAUUCUGUGAUUUUUUUUAAUUUUUUUUUUAAUAACUUUGUCAGAUUUUACCUAAGAUCCUGGAACAAUCAAACAUGUCAGUUAAAAACUGGAUUUAAAAAAAAUCAGCAAUCAUGAACAUUUAAUUUAUUAACUGUAACGAAUUCCUUAAACUUAUUACAGGGAAUUUUUAGUUAUGCCCUCCAAAAUAGCACAAACAUUGUUUGGCCUAUACAAAUCCUUCAAACUCUGACUCAUCAUCGUCAGAAUGUCCAAAUAAGUCACGAUAUUGUUCUUCGGUGAUGCCAUCAGCAUAAACGUCGUCUUUGCUGUCAUCAUCUGUUGAAUUGGUAUAUGAAGCCGAUUCAUCUUUCUCUUCAUAGAUGGCGUCGUCCUCUGAUCAAUCCAUAGCAUUACUAAUUCCGCAUUUCAGGAACGACUUCUUGAUCAUUUCUGGUGAUAUUGAAUCCCAAGCAUCCUUUACCCAUUUUGAUAUCAAAUCAAUGUCUGGUUUCAUCAAGUUUCCUCCUUUCGUUAACUUUGCUUGACCAGAACACAUCCAUUGUUGCCACAUAUUGCGUAUUCGGUCCUUGAAAGGCUUGUUGAGACAGACAUCCAGUGGCUGGAGCAUUGAUGUUAGGCCGCCUGGAAUCACUGCUAACGUGGUUGCCAUUUUUUUUGCUUCAUCCUUCACAUUCUCUGUUAUAUGCGCACGGAACAUAUCCCACACCAAUAACGACUGACAUUUUCUUAGCGCUGUGCCUGGUUGCCUGCCCCACACAUUGCGCAGCCACAACUUUGUACCCUCCUCAUCCAUCCAGCCUUUAGGGUGAACACGAACAGUUACUCCUGCCGGAAUUUUUAAAUUCUUUGGCAUUGUUUUCCUCUUGAAUAUUAUUACCGGGCGCAGUUUAGUGCCAUCUGCCCGGCAAGACAGUACAACAGUGAAAUGUGACUUUUCAUGACCGGUUGUUUUUAUAAGUACAGUUUUUUCUCCAACGCUUUCUACAGUUCGAUUGCCAGGCAUAUCAAAUGUCAUCUGAGUUUCAUCCAUAUUACCAAUGUUAUUCAGAGCGAAACCAUUCUUUUUUCUCUGUUUGAUAAUGAAUUUGUGGAAUGACAUGACCUUUUCGUCCAGCUCUUUAGGCAGCUUCUGAGCGAUCUUUGUUCGCUGACGAAGACACAAUCCAUAUCGGUUCAUGAAUCGUGUGCACCAACCAGAUGAUGCUCUAAAUUUUGUCAUAUCUUCAGUCGCCAAAUAUUUUUCUUUUGCUAUCUGAAGUGCUCGUAUUCGAAUGCUCGAGCGAGUCACAACAUAUCCAUUUUGUCUACAUUCCAUUAUCCAGUCAUUCAAAUCCUUUUCCAUUCCAUCAAAAGGUGUAGCUUUGAAACGUAAUGUUUUCUUCAACUUCGGCAUGGCUUGCAAUUUAGCCUCAUUUUUCCUCCAAUCUCUUACGAGUUUUUCGCUGAUGCUAAACUCUCUUAAAGCUACGCUAUUAUUGGCUUCUUUUGCACGUUCAAUAACUUUCAAUUUAAGUGCAGCAGUGUAAGAAGCUCUUGUUUUCUUUGCAAAACUAAUUUUUCUGAAGAUAAGAAUUUACCGAAAAUGUUCUGUUAUUAAUGUAAUCUUAAUAAUCAUUUGACAACAAACAAGAGUAAAUAGUCAAUCAAGUUCCCUUAUAUGGUGUACCGAUAUGUUUCUUUCUCCCCCUCACUGCUCCUAUGUGUACAUUUCUCCCUUUUUCUUCCCAGUCUCUAUCUUCCGCCUCUGUCUCUUUUUCCCUCCCCCUGUGUCUCUCUUUUGCACAUGUUUCAUUAUCCACUAUCCCCUGUGUGUCUCUCUUCCCCUCCCUUUUGUGUGUGUCUGUGUCUCCUUCUCCCCCUCCCCUUGUGUCUCUCUAUUCCCUUUCUCCCGAGGCUGACCUUGCACGUGAGAGACUGGAAAUAUAACACAAAUGUCUCUCUAUCAUGCUCCCUCGCGGUACCCACAAUUCCCAGCAUGGACACAUCACGGAGUAAACCCUACUCUAUGAUGUGGCUAUGCUGUGCAUUGUGGGAGCCGCGAGGGAGCAUCAUUCGGUAGUUUUGUCUGCUCCCUCCUUCAGUUCGUGCUUUCUGACAGCUGCACUGCUAGGAUGAACAGUGCUGCCCUGACAGUGUUUAAGCCCAUAGUGUGCAGGGUAGCAUAGUACGCCUUAACUAUGGACCAGGAACCCUACACUAUAAGGCCAGGAAUACAUUUGUGUUCCUGACCUUAUACUGUUCCUUUAAUAUAUAGCGUAUAUAGUGUAUCCUUUAAUAUAUAGUGUAUAUAUUACACUGGCCCCCUUUUGCUGAGGGGGCCAGGGACCCUACACUAUAAGGCCAGGAAUGCAUUUGUGUUCCUGACCUUAUACUGUUCCUUUAAUAUAUAGCGUAUAUAGUGUAUCCUUUAAUAUAUAGUGUGUAUAUAGUGUAUAUAUUACACUGGCCCCCUCUUGCUUAGGGGGCAAGAGGGGGCCAGGGACCCUACACUAUAAGGCCAGGAAUUAAUUUGUGUUCCUGACCCUAUACUGUUCCUUUAAUAUAUACACACACGCACUCACUGGCUCAUACACAAAUGCACUCAUUGACUCUUGACACUCACAUUCACUAACAGAAACACACUCACUGACAGAAACGUUCACUGACAGAAACACACACGUUCACUGACAGAAACAUACACACAGACACAAACACACACACACUCACUGACACAAACACACACACAUUCACCGACAGAAACACUCACGUUCACUGACACAAACACAUACACACACAUUCACUGACAGAAACACUCACGUUCACUGACACACACAUACACACACAUUCACUGACAGAAACACAUACCGUACACACACAGACAAACACUCACGUUCAGUGACAGAAACACACACACAUUCAUUGACAAACACACACUGACAAAUAUACACACUGACAGAAACUCACUAGAUUAUAAACACUUUUGUUCUAUUUCAAACACUUGGCUGCUGGGAUAUGAUGUAAUGUAUCCCAGCAGUCCUUAACAUAAUGUGAGCUGAUUGGCCCAUCUGGAGGGGUGAGCUGAUUGGCCCAUCUGGAGGGGUGAGCUGAUUUAGCCCGCGCGGCGCAUCUGGAGGGGUAAGAGAAAGUGACCGGCGGGAGAGUGGUUUUAUGUGCACCCGCUGGUCCCACGGCCCCCUCCCUCCCGCUACCCUGAUUAUGCCGCUGCAGCCGCCCUCCUUCUUCAUGCUUUCACUGUCAGCAUGAAAGUGAGUAUGCCGCCGGACCGGCUAGGCGGCCGCCCGGUCCGGCGGCACCACUAUGAUCCAGCUAUUCCCCCCUCACACCCAUGUAUAAGUCGAGCCUGCAAUAUAACAUUAAUUUUGCAGGUAAAAUUUCUCGACUUAUACACGGGUAUAUACGGUAUAUCAUUAAGCAUCAACAUUAAGAGUGAGGUUAUAUUGUAAACAGGCUUAGUUAGUUAUUUUAUUAAAGCAUCAGCAUCAAUACUAAAGGCAUCAGAACAUGGUGCCAUUAAUGUCCGAGGGUGCUGAAGUAGGAUUAUUAGUAUAAGGUUCUGCAGGCAGUCAAGCACGAUAGGCAUAAUAUGGCAAACAUACGAGAGCAUUAACUUUGCUUGGACGCCAUGGGUUUACUCACAUGGAUGCUGAGUAAAGUAAUAGGUAUUAAUCUAAGGCAUUAUACUGUUUGAAAUCGUGCAGGAUGAAAUUCACUAAAGUAAACUAAAAUAAAAUAACCACUGGGCUGCGCCCCCAUAACAAUUUGAACAGAGGGAGAAUCUAGGUUAGUAGAGCUGUUGCCUAUGGUAGAGCGGCAGAUCAAGUUGUCUCAAGCCCUUAAACUAAAGCUUGUCGCUAAGGGGCCUGCAUAAGGCUGUUUAACCGAUGCCUAACUGUGGCAGGCAGUUAACCUUGGAAUGCACGAGUCCACUGUUCCACAUGCUUGGGCACCACCAGUCCUAUGAGGAGAUAUGCUCCUGUGUCACGCCGGCAGGACAAAAACCAUCCACAGGACCAGUGUCUCUCGGUGCUCGUGGUCGCUGAGUGUGUGUCAUGCCACUCUGCGGCCUGUGGGCCAGGACUCUGCCCCUGCUAGUGUGUCCCACAGAGGAACGACUGCAAGGUAUUGAGGUUGAUUUUUGAAGUCAUUGUGUUGUCGACGGGCCCCUCACGGGUCUUUCCCUUGCUCGUGCCUUUACAGUACGCUGGGUAGGAGCUCUGUGUAGUUGUAAGCUGUGGGCUUGAGAGCCUCUCUUGUCAGGCCGAGGCACACGUAGGUUGUGCCGCACAGGAUGACCGGGGCUUUCGGCGACUUGGCAGUGUUUGAGGCACUUGUUUACGCUUAGCCACCUUUGGCACAAUGUCAGGAUUCUCGGGUUUUGUCAUAGCUUUGCCGUGCUGCAGAUACGGGUGGAGCGCUGCUGCCGUAGCUGAUCUCUGUUUACUGCGCUGGAGUUGGGCAGGUGGGAUAGGAGUGUUGGAUCUGCUGGCUAUGCAGGUCCAAAAAUCUCAGCAUAACGUUUCAAAUCUGGCUUCGAAGCCCUGCGCCCAGUCCAGGCUAUCUAGAUUUGCUUGUUUCCGUGAAGGCCUCUGCAUGGCGGCCAUCUUUAAUCCACCACGCGGUCUGAGACUCCACCGAUUGCAGGCUAUUUCGGUAAGUGGUGUGCCCAGUUGGGACCGGGUUAUCCCCCACCGGUUCUUCAGGAUGUGUAGUCCCCAGCAGGAGAUCAGCCGCCUCUCCCAGCUGUCAGGCCCGCAGUCCUGGUAGGCCGCAAGGCCAGAGGGUAAAGUACCCUUUCAGGAGCUGGUAAUUUGGGAUCCUCAAUAUCCCUGUUGUUUAAGGCGCUUGUCAAGCAAAAUUCUGAUCCUUCUGCCAGUUCUUUGUGUAAUUUUAGUAGAUUUAAAGUUUGUGCUGGCAGGAGCUCUCUGUAAACAUGUCAGGCCCCACCCCCUCCUCUUUUUUUCAUGUCAUUCACCCAUACCCAUUCUAUGUUAUAUUUAAGACCCUAAAAAGGUUACAUAAUUACAUAGCUGAAAAGAGACUUGUGUCCAUCAAGUUCAGCGUUCCUCACAUUUGUUUUUUGCUGUUGAUCCAAAAGAAGGCAAAAAAAACAGUUUGAAGCACAAUUGUGCAACAAGCUAGGAAAAAAAUUCCUUCUUGACCCCAGAAUGGCAGUCAGAGUUAUCCUUGGAUCAAGCAGUUAUUACCCUACAUUGAAAGAUUAUAUCCUUAAAUAUACUGUUUUUGCAAGUAUGCAUCUAGUAGCUGUUUGAACAUCUGUAUGGACUCUGAUAAAACCACUUCUUCAGGCAGAGAAUUCCACAUCCUGAUUGUUCUUACAGUAAAAAAACCUUUCCUUUGCCUUAGACGAAAUCCUUUCUUCCAGUCUAAACGCAUGGCCUCGUGUCCUAUGUAAAGUCCGGUUUGUGAAUAGAUUUCCACAAAAUGGUUUGUAUUGGCCCCCGAAUAUAUUUGUAUAAUGUUAUCAUAUCCCCUCUCAGGCGAUGUUUUUCUAAACUAAUUAGGUUUAAAUUUGUUAACCUUUCUUCAUAGCUGAUAUGUUCCAUUCCUUCUUUACGCCAAAGUGCAUAACUCAACAUUAAAUUUAAUCUGCCAUUUGAGUGCCCAGUCCCCCAAUCCCAGUCUACCUAAAUCCCUCUGCAGCAAAGUAAUAUCUUGCUCACAUUUUAUUAUUUUACAAAGUUUUGUGUCAUCUGCAAACAAUGAAACAUGACUUUCAAUGCUGUCUUCAAGAUCAUUUAUAAACAUGUUAAAUAGGAGUCCAAGAACAGACCCCUGAGGGACACCACUUGCCACCUCUGUCCAGCUUGAAAAUUUACCAUUAAUGACAACUCUUUGUACUCUGUUUUUAAGCCAAUGUUCUACCCAAGAACAAGCAUUUUCAUCUAGACCGAUUUCCUCGAGUUUGAACACUAAUCUAUUGUGUGGAACUGUAUCAAAUGCCUUGGCAAAAUCCAAAUAGAUCACAGGCCCAUAUUUAUUUUUAACCCCUGCAGUGACAUUCCGUGUAUAAGACGACCCCCAAUUUAAAAGGACACUAUAGUUACCUGAACAACUUUAGCUUAAUGAAGAAGUUUUGUUGUAUAGAACAUGCCCCUGCAGCCUCACUGCUCAAUCCUCUGCCAUUUAGGAGUUAAAUUCCUUUGUUUAUGAACCCUAGUCACACCUCCCUGCAUGUGACUUGCACAGCCUUCCAUAAACACUUCCUGUAAAGAGAGCCCUAUUUAGGCUUUCUUUAUUGCAAGUUCUGUUUAAUUGAGAUUUUCUUAUCCCCUGCUAUGUUAAUAGCUUGCUAGACCAUGCUAGAACCUCCAGUAUGUGAUUAAAGUUCAAUUUAGAGAUUGAGAUACAAUUAUUAAGGUAAAUUACAUCUGUUUGAAAGUGAAACCAGUUUUUUUUUUUUUUAUGCAGGCUCUGUCAAUCAUAGCCAGGGGAGGUGUGGCUAGGGCUGCAUAAACAGAAACAAAGUGAUUUAACUCCUGAAUGACAGUGAAUUGAGCUGUGAAAUUGCAGGGGAGUGAUCUAUACACUAAAACUGCUUUAUUUAGCUAAAGUAAUUUAGGUGACUAUAGUGUUCCUUUAAGACAAAAAGAUUUUUGGGGGGGAAAAAGUUUAAGACAUGCAAAAAUGCGGUAACCUGCCAUGUAUUUCAAUGGUAUCUAUUUGUGAACGAAUGAUUUAUGGAGGAUCCGAAGAUCUCACAAAAAUCCCUAUUUUGUACUUUCAAAUGUGCGAGAGUAUGAAAAUUAGAUGUCUUCCAUCUGCUAACAGCUGAAUACUUUACUUUACAUUUAUCAAAAGGCAUCAUGACCAUGUAGGAGGACUUGGGUGAAUUUUUGCAAAUUAAUACAUAUAAAGACCGUGUGUGUUAUAUUUUACCUUUGUGGUCUUACUCACAACCCUCAGUUCUUAUCAUGUACAUAUGUAACAGUUCUUGACUACAUUUACUAUCUAUACUGAUGACCACAAGUUACUAUCCAUUUUACUGUCAUUGACCAGAAGUAUUUUUCUUCCAUGUGUGUGUUUGCUGGAUCAUAUUUUUAUUUUAUUUGCUUUGUCAGGCCGGAAUGUGGAGAGAUGAAGACGUGACACAGAUUUUGAUUUUAUAUUCACUGGAAGCACUAAUUUUGGCACCUGCACAUUUAAUACUAAAUAAAUAUAUGAAGGAAUUAUUUUAUUUACCAACAAUAGCUUAAAGAAUUUGAGAAAUAUUAAGUGAUGUACACCUGUUUGAUCUGACAUUGAGUGGUGGUAGAAUAUCCUGACCGCAAACAAGUUGCCUGCCUAGUUAAUUUCAUUGCAUCCAAGAUUCAGAUUAAUUGUUCCAGUGGACACGAGUUAUUAUCCAGGUGUGAAUGAAAACCUCAAAUUGGCUGUCAGAACGCCAGGAAAUUGUGAGAUUAAAAAAUGAUGGUUCCAGAUACAUUUGUUAAAUACCUUAUUUGCUGGUAAGGUAAUUUUAGUAAUGCCAAAGAGAAACACCCCACUUACAAAUAACAAGGUAUACUCCAGAAUCCUAAAGCAUUUCAGCUUUAUGUGUGUCCUUUUUUUUUUUUUUUUGUUCAUAUUUACAAAAAGUGCAGAUUUCAAAUAAAAUUGGCACUUUUAUAAAUUAACGUUAUUAGACCCCUUGGCUGUCAUUCAGACAACCUGUCCUAUUACGUCCUGUUUUAGUUUAGCUCAUUGGAAAACACAAUAGGCAGGCCUAGCAAAGACUUCUCAUUGAGCUGAAUUGGGAAGUCUGUUAUUGGAUGUGUGUGUGCAUAUUUAUAUUUCCUGGCCAUAUCCAUUGCAGCACAACAAUGGGUUAGCUCCUCCCAUCCCCAGGUAGACAGGAACCUUAUUAAAAUAAGUGUAUAAGUAACUCAUUUUCUUUUUUAUUUUGUUCCUGUCCUAUCUCCAUAGAACAAGUUUUUUGGGAUCUGGUUUGGUAUCUCUCAUUUUCUCUUUUUGACUUACCUCUGGGUUGUUACCCACUGCUCUAAGGGAUUUCAGCUUCUUUUCCUUUGAAGGAAGCUUCAGUACAAUGGCCCUGUGCAAAGGUGACCCCCUGAAGGAACCCCUUUAGUUACCGGGGCCAAGUUGUUGUGACCCUGGGGAUAACAAGUAUAAUAAUACCCUUGGACUACCAUACUCCUUCCAUAAUUUUAAGUUACCUGAUGAAUAUAAUGGAGUCUGAUCUUUAGCCUAGCUUUUCUAGUUGAAUUUGGUACCUCUCUGCACUUCUUUCAUGGCUUUUCCCAGUACAGUUUGCAGUUUUUUUGCCAAAUUAACUCACAUGAAUAAUUGUGAUAUGUCCAGUCAAUAUUAUUUUGGGCCAUCACCGAUUUCAUAGCUUUAGGAAAGUACAGUGUGCGGGUUUCCUCUUCAACAGUCUGAGUUUUUAUAAGCUGAAUGUGCAUGCCAAAAUUGGCAUUUGGUCCACGAUACUGCGCAUACGUGGACCAAAUGAAGGUUAUCUGAAUGCAGCGCAUGCAAGAAAUUUCGGGGUUUUUAGUGCACGGUAGCGUUAAGGCCGUCACAAAGUCUUUUCAAUUGCCAAGUUUAUAUUUAGGUCCUAUGUAAAUUAAUUAGCCUUUCCUUCUUUGCAUACACAGUCCAUUUGGCAGAUUUGUUAAAUUUCAACAAAACUGUAUCCUAAAAGUAUUAAAGAGAGAGAUUAUUUAAAGUGAUACCUUAAAUAAUUUAUCUCAUCCUUUCUUUCCUGGUCCUUCAUUGGGACCUUCUUUCAAUCCUCAGGAUGUCCAAUAUGGAUUCGGAUUCCUCUGUCUAUGACAAAAGGUCACAAUCCAAGAGCAAUAUGUAAGCUAUAUAGUUAUUUGUAUGUUGUUUCUCAGGGCAAUUAUAUAAAACAAAAGAGUGUGUAUAUUAAGAUUUCACUUUUAUUAUAGCUCAAUGGGGAAUAAUUCAAGCAGUGUUAAUUUUGUCGACUAACAAUUUUAGUCAACAAAAAAUUUUGUCGAAUACAACUAAAAUGAUAUUUAUAGUCAAAAGACUAGGACUAAAAUGAAAUUGAAAUUUGCAGCCAAAAUUAACACUGCACAAAGAGGGGCUGUGGAAUGGGCUAAAGAGAUAGACUAGAGCUUGGGAGAGACAACUAGGUGGGCUUGGAGGACACAGAGGGGCUGGGGAAGCGGCAAAAGAGACAGAGGCUUUAACUAAGCCCAUUAGAUUAUAGUUGCAUCGACUAAAAUCUACUGUUGGUUUAGUCAACUAAAACAAUUCAGAUUACUAAAAUACGACUAAAACUAAAAUGGCUUUUGUAGUCAAGACUAUGACUAAAACUAAAUUGAAAUUUGCCACCAAAAUUAUCACUGAAAUCAAAAGAGAAGUUCCCUGAGAAGUAGCAAUGCGAAGCAUGUGAUUCUAAGACCUUAGAAGGAAAACACCUCUGCAUAGCCUGCCUAACAGCAGCAUCAGUGCCUUUCACCUCUACACCAAACGUCAUGGGCUUUUUCAAACAGCUUGUCCCAGGGUUUAAAUAGGCCAGUCAAUCACGUAAAAAUACCAAGAUCUGUUUUGGUCUAAAGAUUAUUUCUCAGACAUGGAAGUGGAAUCCUUUUGAGAUACCCGUUCUUUGCAUAUGCGUGUGCACGAGGUGUGCCUGGGCACACCCUAAUCCCCGCGGCACACGUAUGGAUUGAGACCGGUAGGGGAGAUCUCAGGAUCUCCACUGACGGCUCAUGCAAAGCCGGCGCUAUCCAAGCGCUGGUUCUGCUCUAAGCCUCCAUGGGCCGGUGGGGAGAUCCUCCUCACCGGCCCACAGUAGCAUGGAGGGAGGAAGGAGAGGACCCGGGGAGCUCUAGCCAGCAGCUCCACCGGGUUCCUCUUGCGAGACUCAGGUCUCACGAGAGUGAACUCUAGCCCCACAGGCUAGAGUUCACUCUCCACUGGACCACCAUGGGUGGCACAUGGCAGCAAGGAUCCCCCUUCUUACAUAAGAAGGGUGGGAGAAAUUUACUAAUUUGCCCCCACCUCCACCCUCACAGUCCCUCCAAACAUAGAGCUCACACACACAGCACACUAACAGCACCAACACACGAACAGGACCCUAACAAACACACACAAACACCCUCACACACAGCACACGAACAGGACCAGCACCCUCACACACAGUACACCAACAGCACCCUUACAAACACACAGCACACAAACCGCACCCACACAGAAAGCACACUAACAGCACCCUCACAAUCACAGCACACUGACAGCACCUUCCCAAUCACACACAGCACACACAUACAGCACCCUCACACACAGCACACUAACAGCACCCUCACACACACAGCACACUAACAGCAUCCUCAGAAUCACACACACACCGCACACAAUCAGCACCCUCACAAACAAACACACAGCACCCUCACACACACUAACAGCACCCUCACACACACAGCACACUAACAGCACCCUCACACACACAGCACACUAACCGCACCCUCACACACACAGCACACUAACAGCACCCUCACACACACAGCACACUAACAGCAUCCUCAGAAUCACACACCGCACACACACACAUCCCGCAAACAGCACCCUCACACACAUAGCACACUAACAGCAUCCUCAGAAUCACACACCGCACACAAACACACAUCCCGCAAACAGCACCUUCACACACAUAGCACACUAACAGCACCCUCACAACCACACAUCACGCAUACAGCACCCUCACACAAAGCACACUAACAGCACCCUCACUAUCACACACAGCACACAAUCAGCACCCACACAAUCAGCACCCUCACACACAACACCCUUACAAACAAACACACAGCACCCUCACACACAGCACACUAUCAGCACCCUCACACGACACCCACACACAGCACACAAACAGCACCCUCACACGACACCCACACACAUCACGCAAACAGCACCCUCACACACACACACAUCACGCAAACAGCACCCUCACACACACACAUCCCGCAAACAGCACCCUCACACACACACAUCCCGCAAACAGCACACUAACAGCACCCUCACAAACACAGCACACUAACUAUUUUUCCAACUUGAGGAAGAGGAAAAUUACUUUCCCAGUCCAUGAAGCUUUUAAAGACUUUGGGAAUGAUCCAAGAAGGGGAAAAAAAAGGAAGAAUUAAUUGUAUGUACCUAUUUUGAGGCUUCAGAUUCUGCUGCCUGGGACUCUACUACUAAAGUAGACUCAGCUAUAGUAAGACUGGCCAAGUGUAGUACUUUACCAGUGGACAAUGCUGGUUCUUUGAGGGACUCUAUGGACCUUAACUUAGCCAAAGUUAAUUUGGCAGCAGGCAUCGGGCUUCACCCUGCUAUAGCACUUACAUCUUUUUUAUCCAACACUUAAGCUAUGGACAGAGGACAUCGAGGAGGAUCUUAAAGAUGAAAGGAGCAGAUCCUCUAUUAUUAACAGCUUUUAAGAUAUAAAACUGGCUGCAGACUUUACCUUGGAAGCUUCUGGGGACAUGGUCAGGACUCUAGACAGAAAUAUAGUUCUGUCAGUCUCCACCAGAAGGGCUCUCUGUCUUAGAUCUUGGACAAAUUGAUACAUCUUCAAAGCACAGUAUCUUCUCCAUUCCCUUUCAAGCAAAAUGCUCUUUUGUAAGCAUUUAGACGAGUGCAUCAAAAUCGCAAAAAAUGGGAGAAGAACAUUCCUGCCUCAAGAUCACAGGACUUAAAAAUCAUGCAGAAACAGAAGAUAUGGAGAAAAUUCUUCCUUUCAGGAUAACAUAGCAUAUUGAUCUGGCAGAGAAUGUGGAAGAUCCCAGACAUGGAAAGGUGGUCAUUUGUCUAAUAAAGUUAACUGGUCCAGAGGUACAGCCCCAGCUAAAAGCUCAAGGUUCUUAUGAUGGUCUACUCUCGCAGACUAGAGGGGUAGGAGCUUGCCUGCUCCAAUUCAAUCAUGUUUGGUAGAAGCCAAUCCAAGACAAAUUAGUCCUAGACAUUAUUUCAAAAGGUUGCUUCCCACAAUUCAACAACACUCCACCAAGGCGAAGCUUUCAAAUCUCGAAAUGGGCAGGAGACAAGGAAAAAAGAGUCAUUAUAAAGGUUCCGCAAAGAGAAAGAAACCUCAGAUUUUAUUCUCACUUGUUUCUGACCAAGUAGGUGUCUGGAGGUUGGAGACCAAUUCUGGAUUUACACAGAUGAAACGGAUAUUUGAAGGUGAGAAAAUCCAAAAUGGAAUCUCUACAAUCCAUUCUGACGGUUGUUUUCCCUUACCAGUGGUUGAUAUCCAUCAAUUUGAAAGAUGAAUAUUUCCAUGUGCCUAUAGCCAAGCAACACCAAAGUUUCCAGUGUUUGGUGUAGAGGAAGAGCAUUAUCAAUUUCAAGCUCUUCUUUUCAGACUAAGUACUUACAUUCUAGAAAGUGAUGGUUGUCCUUAUAGUGGAACUCCGGAAAAGAGGCUUUGCAAUCCAUCAUUAUCUGGAUGACAAAUUGAUUCUGGCAGACCGCAAACAGUCCCUUAUAUCUCACGGUCAUAUCUGCAUAAAAACUCUUUCAGAGCACAUUUGGAAGAUCAAUAUUUCCAAAAUUCAACUGGCACCGUCUCAAAAGAUGAUUUACCUUGGAGCCCUCUUCAAUACCUUAAAUGCCAUGUUUGACUUUCCAAAGACAGCACCACCCUGUCUUUCCAAGUAGUCAACAGGUCCUUUUAUUUCCUGGUUCGGUCAACUUAGUUGCACUGAACUCAAGAAACACUUGCCUUGCAAAGACCUCUCAUUCAGCUGCAUUGGGUAGUCUGUGAUUGAACAAUCACAUAAAGUCUGGGUGUGGUUAGAAGAGGAAGGCUUGCAAAGGCAGCUGAUAAGAGAUUGUUAGCUUUUGCAAGCUGUUUUUAGAUAUAACUCCAAUGAAAAAAAAUGUGUAAAUACACACACUCAAGUUUUCAUUUGGGGUAUAUCUACUAAACAGUGGUUUAUUUUAUAUUUGGGCAGUUGAGUGUCCCUUUAACUGCAGCAUUUAAGAAUAUGCUACAUCUUCCUUUUGUGUUUACUUUGGUCCAGGAUAAUUAUAACAGCAUUUCAGCUAUAUCAUUUUCUGGAAAUACCAGAGAAAUUACCAAUUUUGCUUUCUAAAUUAUAGGGUGUAUUUCAGUAUCUUUUCUUUUUCACUUUAAAUAAAAUGCCUAAUUAAUUUAAGGGUGAUUCUGUUCCGCAUGUUAAAAAGCAAGUAUGCCCAAGUUCACCAAGUUGGUUAUUCAGGCUUACACAGGUUUGUAGAGUCCUCUAGUAUUUGAAAUGAGUAGAAAAUAUAGCUAAACUCACAAGCCACUCUUUUUAGUUUAGCUCUAGUUCAAUUAUCAUAGUGGUCAGCAUAGGUUAACAGACACCUCAAAAAAUGUUUUAUGUAUAACAAUCUUUUCAUCAAGUUUUGAAAGUGUUUUUUUUGUUUGUUUGUUUGUUUCAUUAACCCCUUAAGACCGGAGGGCGUACUAUUACGUCCUCUAAUAGGCGGCUCUAAACGCCGCCGGGCGUAAUAGUACCCCCUCCGGUCUUUCUGUACUUACCCGGUCGCCGGCGGUCCCACGCCGGCGAUCGCGGUGGGGGGGACUCCCAGGGAGCCCCCCGCGGCACGACCGUCCUCCAGGAAGCCCCCCGGCCGUGUGAGAGUGGGGUCCUAGCGAGGUCCCCACAAUCACAUGGCCGGGGAUAGCUGGCUUCUGUAUUGCCAGCAGGGGGGCUGCCUGUAAUGACAGGUGGUCCCCCUGCUGGCUGAAAAUAAAAAUGAAAUAAAUAAAUAGUGUAAAAAAAUAAAUAAUAUAUACUUAGAUCAUAUAUAUAUAUUAUAUAUAUAUGAUCAAAGUAUAUAUAUACACAUAUACAUACACACAUGUACACCGUCUAGGUGUAUUUUACUAUUAAUAUAUAUAUAAUUAUAUAUAUAUAUUAAUAUCAAAUUACACGUACACUGAUACUGAUUAAAUAUAUAUAUAAUUAUUGUUAUAUAUAUAUUUAUAUAUAUUAUAAAAAAAAUUAAAAUGUAAAUACGUUAAAAAAUAAAAUUACAAAAAUAAUUAAAAAUAAAUAAUUAAAAAAUAUAUAGAUGUGUGUUAUUUCGUUCUAACUGUAUUGUGAAAUUAAUAUAUAUAUAUAUAUAUCAAAAUACACAUAGAACGAAAUAAUAUAUAUAUUUAUACACAUAAAUAUAUACGUAUAUAUCACUAUAUAUAUACCUAUAUAUAAAUAAAAAUAUUUUAAAAAAAUUAUAUAGAUAUAUACAUAUAUAUACACAUACGUAUAUAUAUACAUAUAUUGAUUCUACAUAUAUAUUUAUGUAAUAUUUUACAUAAUUAGGUAUCUUAAUUAAUUACAAUUAGCAGGACCUGCAUGACAACCCAUGCCGAAAGUAAAGGGAAUUUAAUUUGCUAGCACUAUAUUUAACCCUAUAACUUUCCGAGACACCAUAAAACCUGUACAUGGGGGGUACUGUUCUACUCGGGAGACUUCGCUGAACACAAAUAUUAGUGUUUCAAAACAGUAAAAUGUAUUACAACGAUGAUAUCGCCAGUAAAAGUGACGUUUUUUGCAUUUUUCACGCACAAACAGCAUUAAACGGACAAUAUUAUUGCUAUGAUACUUUUUACUGUUUUAAAACACAAAUAUUUGUGUUCAGUGAAGUCUCCCGAGUACAACAGUACCCCUCAUGUACAGGUUUUAUGGUGUUUUCAAAAGUUACAGCGUCAAAUAUAAGGCUUGCGUUUCAUUUUUUUCACAUUAAAAUUCGCCAGAUUGGUUACGUUGCCUUUGAGACCCUAUGGUAGCCCAAGAAUGAAAAUUACCCCUAUGAUGGCAUACCAUUUGCAAUAGUAGACAACCCAAGGUAUUGCAAACAGGGUAUGUCCAGUCUUUUUUAGUAGCCACUUAGUCACAAACACUGGCCAAAAUUGGCGUUUUUUGCAUUUUUCACACACAAACAAAUACUAACGCUAACUUUGGCCAGUGUUUGUGACGAAAUGGCUACUAAAAAAGACUGGACAUACCCCAUUUGCAAUACCUUGGGUUGUCUACUAUUGCAAAUGGUAUGCCAUUAUGGGUGUAAAUUUCAUUCCUGGGCUACUAUAAAGUCCCAAAGGCAACGUAACCAAUCUGGCGAAUUUCAAUUUCAAAUGUAACGUGCUAUAUUUGACCCUGUAACUUCCCAAAACGCCAUAAAACCUGUACAUAGGGGGUACUGUUUUACACGUGAGACUUUGCUGAAUACAAAUAUGUGUAUUUUAUUGCAGUAAAAGCAAACAGUAUUAUGACACUGACCGUUUAAUUGUCAUGUAGAACUAAAAAAAUCCAAUAAAAUCGUAUUUUCUCCCAUUUUUUUCAUAUUAAAUUAUGUUUCAUAGCUAAAUAUUUGAUAUUAAAUGAAAGCCCUGUUUCCCCUGAAUAAAAUGAUAUAUAAUAAGGGUGGGUGCAUUUACUAUGAAAUAGGUGUAUUACGGUUGGACAGACAUGUAGCGCAAAUGCCAGGUUUUGUUUACAUUUUGUUUUGUUCACAACGUGUACAUUUGGCUCCGUCCUUAAGGGGUUAAGCAUAUGUAAAACCUUUUAGUUUAUGACCAGAUGCUUCAGCCAUAUACAUACACCUUGGGUCAGACAGUGUUAAUAAACAGACUAUUUCUGUGUUCUUCCCUGUUCCUAUCCCUGGAAUGAAGCACAAAAGCAUACAGACACUGUUGUGUUUCAAACACUGGCUGACACAAGGUACAUAUGGGUACAGUAUUUCCCAAUUUUUACAUAUACUUCAUUUAAAAAAUCUAUUUCCUUUCAGAAAUGUAGAAAAAGUAUUGUAUAACAAAAUAUCAUUUUGAGGUGACCGUUGUACCUUAAAUGCAAUUAUAGAAAAAUUAUAAUGUUUCAACUACAGUGCAUGCACUAAAUGAAUACCUUGAAAAAUUAAAAUUUGUCCAGCACAAAAAUUGUCUUGUGGUCCUUUCCUGGCACUAUAGGAUCCCUUUAAAAUAAACACAUUUUCCUGGCACUAUAGGCUUUUGGAGUGCCCCCCUACCUCUGCGCUAAAGGGGUUAAAACCCCUUCAGCCGCUUACCUUACUCCAGCACUGGUGAUCUCUCCUCCCCCGCCGAUGUCAGCUCCUGAGUGGAGCUGAAUGCGCAUGCACGGCCAGAGGCGCGCGCACGUGCGCAUUCAAACCUGCCCAUAGGAAAGCAUUACUUAAUGGGGAUCUUAUUUGACACUGGACUCCAUGAGGACGUCAUUACUCAGUGUAAAUCGCGGAAGCGGCCUCUAGUGGCUGUCAGGGAGACAUUGAGCUGAAGUGGCCUGGGUGCCUAUAGUGGUCCUUUAAGUUGCAAAAAAAAAAGGUAACAUUUCACCCUUUAACAAACGUAUUACUUCAGCGCAUUUUGUGUGAAUAUAUUGUCCAUUAAUUAAAGUAGUGGUGUAUCAUCCUCCAUAAUAAUGAUUAACAUUCUAUUCUAAAGUGUAGAAAACUCCCGUGAUCAGACAGCUGGAUAUUUUUUUUCCUGUAAGUUUGUUUAAGCAUCAGUUGGCAAACUCAUUAUUCAUCAGCCCAAAACAGUGCUCACAGGUCUAAGAAGUUCAGAUUAAGUAUACUCAACUUGCUUGAAGAGUUGGUUAAAAUUGAAUGUGCAGAGGCAUUCCCGCAGCUCCUGCAAAGCCCGUCUGAAUCCAUAAUAAUCGGGGGCAAUCAGCACCAAUUUUGGCCACAGACCCUGACACUGAUUCCGGGGCAGCCAGUUGACACCGCCGAUGCCGUUGUUUGAUACGCCCGGCUCCAAAAAUCAACACCAGGGCGGGAAGGCCUACCACGCGAGUGUCCAACAGAGGGACUUCUACCAGCAAGACAAGCCUAUUCGACUGAGUCCGUGUGACAUCAUACUGCGGUGCCAAUCAAUGUCAGACAAAUUGGGGUUCCUGUCAGCGCUACAAGGAAAGACUUCUUUUGAGUUCAAGGACUGUCGACUCUCCUUUUUUCAGGACUUGAGCAGUGGAUGCACUACUCUGGCACAAACAUAUGCAACCACUCACUAAACCACUCCAAGCAGCUGGCAUUGCCUACAAGUGAUCAACUCUGGUGACCCUCUGGGUUACCAAAGAUGGCAAGCACGACAAGGCCACUGACCCCACAGAGGGCCCAGCACUAGGCCUCCCUACCCUAGCGAUGACCUCGAUGACACAGCCAGGCCACCAAUCUUGGAAUGCGGAAGCAGCCACAGUCGGCGCACCCAGAUCGCACAGAGGCAUCAAGACCUGAACCAAUGCUCUCUGCCUUUACUAAGUUAAUCUAGCUAUUAUGUUUAGCAGCGUUUGUUAUUUACUUUUGGUUAAUCAUUCUGUUGCAACAACCAAGUAAGAUGUGAUAGGGACCUAUUGGGGUUCCACCACUGAGCUCCGGUGGCACUCUCGCCCUGGGGUAACAGGAUACUACCAGCACGGUAGCUCUAUAACCUCUCUUAGUGUAGUGCUUUAAGUCUCAUCUGCCACCAUUAGACCUAUGCCCUACGGGCGCAGAUAGGCCCUCCCACAGCUCCCACCCACCUAGACGAAUACUCGACAUAGAUACUAAACAACCUUGCGACUACACAUAGCUGUCACCACUACUAUAAAGUUGACCAAGGCCCACAGUUCUUUUCCACUACAGGCGUUAGCCACGCAGCUUCAGAUGGAUGCCAACACGGGUGCAGGCCAAGAUUAAGCAAGGCGCUCCUUGGGGGAACGCCACAACACACCACACACCUAGCACAGGUCAAGUCCUGGGUGCCACAAGAGGCACAUUACUUCAGUAGCCUUAAGCGAACAGACUGGGACUUGACCCCAUAGCCAGAAGUCAUAAUGGAUACCACACGCCUCACCCACCAUAUGGCUCCAUGAUAACUGCACUGACGCACAUAGACAGGUUAAAGUAGUAGCUUGGCUAAGUAUGACUGUCUUUUCAUCGCAUGAAAAAUAAAGAUGAUUUUUUUUUUUAAAUUGAAUGUGCAAUGAAUGAAUUCCAUAUAUGUAGUGCCACUUAACUUUCUUUUUUUUCUGUAAUAUUUUGUGUUACCACGUUUGUUCUUUUAUUACUCUUAUUUCUGCAACUGAUAUUUUUUUAUUUAUUUUUUUUCAUGCCUUUUCAGGUUGACUUUCAAGCUGUGCCACAUAUACUGGAAUUGGCCUGGAACUAUUCGGGUACCAGCUCCUUGCAAAUAUGCACACAAACUAGCAUUUCUUUCU
RNAcentral lists this long non-coding RNA (18710 nucleotides) under Pelobates cultripes (western spadefoot toad). Lineage: Eukaryota; Metazoa; Chordata; Amphibia; Anura; Pelobatidae. The record is from RNAcentral.